UCAGCAGACUCUCCUAAAUAACAGCAGCAAUUUUUCCUUACAAUGCCAACACAAUUACUGCUCUGGAAAAAAGCUUGAUGUCAGAAAAGACAAAGUACAUCACACAGAUGGAACGUACCAGAAGACCGCUUCCUUAUGCCGGCCUGGACAUAUUUUAACUGCUGUGAUCUUCUCCUUUCAAAACCUUGUCACUGCCGUUCAGCAGAAAUUCCACAGGUAUGGGACCAUCCUGCUGGAACAAAAUGCAGGUACUGGAACUCCAGUGCCAUUUUUGGGAAGACUGUGGAUACACUGAAGGCGUUUCCCAGCAUGAUCUGCAAGGGAAAAUAGUGAAGAAGCCAGAAAAUAGGGAAGCAAAACCACCACCAAUGCACCAAGUGUUUUUGCAGAAAUAGCAACAUGGCCAAGGUACCUCCAUCCCUUGUCUCCAAAGGCAAUCACAUCACAGGUAACGCAAUGUUUUCCUGCUUUGGGCAGCACUGCAGA
Molecule: long non-coding RNA, 486 nt
Organism: Motacilla alba alba
Lineage: Eukaryota; Metazoa; Chordata; Aves; Passeriformes; Motacillidae
Exons: 4
Source: RefSeq, a predicted model, not a curated record